RNAcentral lists this unclassified non-coding RNA (429 nucleotides) under Hevea brasiliensis (rubber tree). The record is from RNAcentral. Lineage: Eukaryota; Viridiplantae; Streptophyta; Magnoliopsida; Malpighiales; Euphorbiaceae.
GAGAGAGAGAGAGAGAGAUUAAGAUACAGUAGGUUCAACAGUUGAACAAAUAAUCCUUGCAAGAAAAUAAUAAAUCUACUUCAACUGUAUAGAACAAGGCUUGGCUCCCCAGACAAUUGGGAACAGCUACUACCAUUACAGAUGCAUUAGAUAUUUUUGAAACUACAGUACAUUGUGAAAGACCAACUUUUCAAUCAGAUUUGAAUACAAAACCAACAUUAACAUUGUAGAUUAGCAUAUUCCACAAACUAAAUUAAGAGGAAUAAAAAUUAGCUACUUCAUUGAAGGGAACAAAGUUUAAGUUUUCCUGAAUGAAGGGGAAAGAAAACAAUUAAACACUAUGCUACACUAGGCUUCUUCUCAUAUACGUACAUAUAGAAACCAGACCUCAUAGUGGAGAUAUGAUUUUAAAGAAGAAUGCUCAUACCU